Molecule: ribosomal RNA, 252 nt
Filed under: uncultured bacterium
Lineage: Bacteria
Description: partial 16S ribosomal RNA
Rfam family: Bacterial small subunit ribosomal RNA
Source: RNAcentral
UACGUAGGCCCCGAGCGUUGUCCGGAUUUAUUGGGCGUAAAGCGAGCGCAGGUGGUUUAUUAAGUCUGGUGUAAAAGGCAGUGGCUCAACCAUUGUAUGCAUUGGAAACUGGUAGACUUGAGUGCAGGAGAGGAGAGUGGAAUUCCUAGUGUAGCGGUGAAAUGCGUAGAUAUUAGGAGGAACACCAGUGGCGAAGGCGGCUUACUGGACUGUAAAUGACGCUGAGGCUCGAAAGCGUGGGGAGCAAACAGG